RNAcentral lists this ribosomal RNA (253 nucleotides) under uncultured bacterium. RNAcentral describes it as "partial 16S ribosomal RNA". It matches the Rfam family "Bacterial small subunit ribosomal RNA", at positions 524 to 776 of the family's 1533-position model. The record is from RNAcentral.
UACGUAGGGGGCUAGCGUUGUCCGGAAUCAUUGGGCGUAAAGCGCGCGUAGGCGGCCCGGUAAGUCCGUUGUGAAAGUCAAAGGCUCAACCUUUAAAUGCCGAUGGAUACUGCCGGGCUCGAGUCCGGAAGAGGCGAGUGGAAUUCCUGGUGUAGCGGUGGAAUGCGCAGAUAUCAGGAGGAACACCGAUAGCGAAGGCAGCUCGCUGGGACGGUACUGACGCUAAGGCGCGAAAGCGUGGGGAGCGAACAGG